Molecule: ribosomal RNA, 433 nt
Filed under: uncultured bacterium
Lineage: Bacteria
Description: partial 16S ribosomal RNA
Rfam family: Bacterial small subunit ribosomal RNA
Source: RNAcentral
AAUGAACGCUGGCGGCAUGCCUAACACAUGCAAGUCGAACGAGACCUUCGGGUCUUGUCGCGCACGGGUGCGUAACGCGUGGGAACCUGCCCUUAGGUUCGGAAUAACUCCCCGAAUGGGGUGCUAAUACCGGAUAAUGUCUUCGGACCAAAGAUUUAUCGCAUUUGGAUGGGCCCUCGUUGGAUUAGCUAGUUGGUAGGGUAAAAGCCUACCAAGGCGACGAUCCAUAGCUGGUCUGAGAGGAUGAUUAGCCACACUGGGACUGGGACACGGCCCAGACUCCUACGGGAGGGAGCAGUGGGGAAUAGUGCAACAUGGGGGAAGGCAUGAUCCAGCUAUGCCGCGUAAGUGAUGAAGGCAUGAAAGUUGUAAAGCUCAUGUACCCGGGAUGAUAAUGACAGUACCGAGAGAGUAAGCCCCGGCUAACUACGUG